RNAcentral lists this ribosomal RNA (395 nucleotides) under uncultured bacterium. Its description in RNAcentral is "bacterial SSU rRNA". It matches the Rfam family "Bacterial small subunit ribosomal RNA", at positions 957 to 1353 of the family's 1533-position model. The record is from RNAcentral.
UAACGCGAAGAACCUUACCAGGUCUUGACAUACUAUGCAAAUCUAAGAGAUUAGACGUUCCCUUCGGGGACAUGGAUACAGGUGGUGCAUGGUUGUCGUCAGCUCGUGUCGUGAGAUGUUGGGUUAAGUCCCGCAACGAGCGCAACCCUUAUUAUCAGUUGCCAGCAUUAAGUUGGGCACUCUGGUGAGACUGCCGGUGACAAACCGGAGGAAGGUGGGGAUGACGUCAAAUCAUCAUGCCCCUUAUGACCUGGGCUACACACGUGCUACAAUGGAUGGUACAACGAGUUACGAACUCGCGAGAGUAAGCUAAUCUCUUAAAGCCAUUCUCAGUUCGGAUUGUAGGCUGCAAUUCGCCUACAUGAAGUCGGAAUCGUUAGUAAUCGCGGAUCAGC